RNAcentral lists this transfer RNA (65 nucleotides) under Macrostemum radiatum. RNAcentral describes it as "tRNA-Thr". Lineage: Eukaryota; Metazoa; Arthropoda; Insecta; Trichoptera; Hydropsychidae. The record is from RNAcentral.
GUUUAAAUAGUUUAACUAAAAACAUUGAUUUUGUAAAUCAAAAUUAAAUAAUAAUUUUUUAAACU